AGAUUGCUUCUGUCAUAUCGCUUUGCUGUUUUGGAGUGUACUUAAAGGAUUAUGAUUGAUAAGGCUGUCUUGCCAGAGAAUGUUGACACAGGUGUGCAUCGUUAUCUUAAUUAAGAUCCUGAGAAAAUGUUGUCUAUAAAAUGGUGACAUAAGAAAGGCGGCAUAUUUUUGUACAGUUUUGCUUCUGGAGAAUUUAAUUGCACUAGAAAUCUGUCUUUGAGUUCCAGAUUUUGUGAGCACUUUGGCAGUAGAAGUUUGAGAGAAAUGAUAGUUCAUUGUUAAGUGUUCUGGCAUGUAUUGAUACUACUUGUGGCUUUUUUGGCAAUGCCUCUGUCUGCUUUCUUUGUGCUCCAUCUUUGUGGAAUAAUGGUUUCUGAUUUAGAAAGGAAAGCAUGAAUAACCUAGUAUGUUAUUAAGCAAACGUUUAUUAGUAUUCAGAAAAAAAUAUGUAGAGGAAGACAUGUUUAAUGUGCAGAAACAGGAAUGUAAUGAAAAAGUAAAUAUAUAAGAAAUUUAUGUCCCUUCAUUUUUUUAAAAAAGUCUCUUAGGAUGUUUUCAUGAUCUAAAACAUUUUCUUUUUUCUUCUCAAGUACUUAGCUACAUUGUUUAUGGAAUGCCUUGUUUUAUUUCCAGACACAGAAGAAAACUGUUUUAUUUCUUCCAAAAUGUGUUUCUGUAAAUUCGAAUUGAUGAGCAAGUGAAGACAGUGCAUUUAGGCUCUUAUUAGUUUAAGGAUCUGAAUCAUAACCUAGAUGACCACUAAAAUAAUAUUACUGUCCUUUACUUCAAAUCUCUGAAUGCCAAAACAAUAGCAAGACGUAUGCUGUUGAUUAUAUUACCCCUUGGCUUACCCAGCACCUAAUACCCUUCAACAUAAGUAUUGCAUUAAGAUUUCCCCCCCUCUCUUUGUAGCUCAUGAUUUCCUGGAAGCUGGCUGUCCAUCAGUGUGUAUGUAAGAUGUGUUAUGAGUAUGAUGCUUCCAUAAUACAUUUGGAUGUUUUCAGCUAAGUUCACAUCUGAACUAUGGGGUUCCUCCAAGUGUUGACUGAAAUUUGUCCUUGAGCAUCCCCUCGCUCAUCUAAUCUACUGUCCAUAAUGGAGCCACUGUACUGGCUUUUGGAAGGAGGAGAUUCUGAAGAUAGGGAGGUUGGCUUGCUGCUUUCUGCAGCUGUUGCAGGGAUUCCCAUGGAAUGGAGGACUCUGUUUUAUUCUGGAUGAGAUCUCUGAGCAUUUCUCCGCAUGCUUGUUCAGUGUCAAAAACCUAAUGUUGGUGUCCAAGAGUGAAUCUACAAUUCUUGAACAACAAAAAUCAAAAAUUAGAAAAUUUGUAUCAAAAAGAAAAGCUUCCAUCUUUUCAGGCUCUGCUGCUGCCUUGACUGUGCAAGUUAAAUUAAAAACAGAGUCAAAUCCUUUUAUAAAAUAUCAGUCUAUCAUUCAAUCAUUCUAUUUCGAAGAAUGUUUAUAAAGGCUUAAAUUGUGUUAUGGUAUUUAUGUAAUUUUUUUCCUUUUUAAGAAAAAUGAUAUACUUUUCUAGUCAAAAACAUCUACUCCCCAAACUAUAUAGAAGGAUGUUAAUGGAAUAAUGAAGGACUUUAUGAUGUCUAAUUAUAUAAUUGGGAAAUGGGUAAGCAACAGUAGUAGUAGCUAAAAUCAGUUUCUUCUAUUAAACAGCUAGUAUAGAGUUAAAAACAAAAAACUUCAAGAAGAAGACUCUGUAAUCUUUAAAUCAAAUGACACUUUUGGUUAACAUAAUAGGAAGAAGAAGCAUACCAAUCUCAGAUUCUUUUAUUCUGGCCUAGGUAGAGGUUGGAAGCAGCUGAAGAGCUGUUAACAUGUGGCCUGGAAAAAAAUUAUCUAAAAGUGAUUACUUGGAAGGCAGGUUACAUUUGCAGAACAAUUCAAUAUUAUGACCUUGACCAACUUUUACACUUCAUAUUACUUGGGUUAUUACUCCAGCUUUUAAAAUAUCAAUCUAUGGUAUAGCUUGUGUAUGGAAUACAAGGGUAUUUUUGAAUUGACUAAGUCUUGCUCGUCAUUCUAAAUUGUGCUUCAGUAUUACAAAGUUGAAAUGUAAUAUUUAUUAAUAGAAGGAAAAUAUAAAAUUUAAUAUCUGGGCAACUGAGACCUUUAAACCUAUUUUAAAAGUAUAAUCUUGACAUCUAUGACACUAUUUUUUUGUCUUUGAAAUAUAGAUAGAAUAAUGGAUUAUUCUAAAAUUCAGAUGUUUUAUUUAUUAAUUCCAAGUUUUAUUCUCUAUAAUGGACUUUUAAAAUAAAAGGAAUAUGUGCUUUA
This is a long non-coding RNA of Dama dama (fallow deer), 2292 nucleotides long. RefSeq lists it as uncharacterized. The transcript has 4 exons. Lineage: Eukaryota; Metazoa; Chordata; Mammalia; Artiodactyla; Cervidae. The record is from RefSeq and is a predicted model, not a curated record.